This 281-nucleotide ribosomal RNA is filed under the name uncultured Ascomycota. RNAcentral describes it as "partial 18S ribosomal RNA". It matches the Rfam family "Eukaryotic small subunit ribosomal RNA", at positions 344 to 624 of the family's 1831-position model. The record is from RNAcentral. Lineage: Eukaryota; Fungi; Ascomycota.
CCAUGGUUUCAACGGGUAACGGGGAAUUAGGGUUCGAUUCCGGAGAGGGAGCCUGAGAAACGGCUACCACAUCCAAGGAAGGCAGCAGGCGCGCAAAUUACCCAAUCCCGACACGGGGAGGUAGUGACAAUAAAUACUGAUACAGGGCUCUUUUGGGUCUUGUAAUUGGAAUGAGUACAAUUUAAACCUCUUAACGAGGAACAAUUGGAGGGCAAGUCUGGUGCCAGCAGCCGCGGUAAUUCCAGCUCCAAUAGCGUAUAUUAAAGUUGUUGCAGUUAAAA